CAGUCAAAGGAGAAAAUGUUGUUCCGUGGCCCAGCAGUCCUGCAAGGCCUCUCGUGAUUAACUGCAUGAAGAAUUUCUUUCCAUGGCUGGGUGGGAGGCAGAAACCCACCGGGUGUGGUUUCUUGGUGGGUAUGUCUUGUAUUUCCCAGAGGCACACCAAGGGAACGGGUAUUGCUGCAUUAGUGCUGCUGCAGCUCCUGCAGCUGCCUGGUGAGAUCCAGGGCCCAGACAUUCCUGCUGCUUCUUUUGGGUCUGGAAAGAGGUUUUCUGGGAAAGAAAGGUUUUCUGGUGGCUGGCAAGGCCAGACGAGCUGGUCAGCCUACAGGUAAUCUCUGCUUCCAUGGCCAACAGGUGAGUAAUUGCAGUCUGGGGUGGGAUUUUCUGCUGCUGGAAACCUUCUUCUCAUCUUUACAUUCCUACUUCUGCCAUUUCCGCUGCCUCAGCCCUUCCUUUUUUCUUUCUGUCAUUCAAUGCCUUUCUUGCCUUGUUGGUAGUUCCCAUUAAAAAAAAAAAUCUGGAAAAGGUAGUCAAAUGAGAAACAGGGUUAUUUAUUUUCUCAGUUUCCAAGUUUUUUUUUAUGUGUGUGUUCUUUUUAACCUUUGCAAAUUCUCUAAGAAUGGAAGGAAGGAAAAUAAGCAAACAAAAACAAGAUGAAAUCAGGAAAUCAGAAAAAAAUCCUGAAAUUAAAUAAAGCAGCCAUGUCAAAUUUUUACUAGAACAACAGAACAUUAAAAUGGCACAGAACAUUCUCAUUUCCUUCUGUAAUUGUUUGGGAGAGUUUUAAAAGGCUGUAAUUUUUACUAUUCCUACUAGAUUUCCCUUGGUAAAGCCCUUGCACCAGUGGAUGUCAGUACCUCCCAGAGGGUGUGUGUCUGUGGGAUGAGCGGAUUGCAUUCGUUUUUCUUUGCAAAAGAGUGGGGUUUGGUGUGGCCAAUGUGCAAGAGAAAAAAAGAAGUGUAGCUGAUGCCAAGGACAGAAAAGAUUACCUGCCCACGCAUUGAUUUCUCUGAUGAUGCCAUGUUUUGACUUUGGGAUGCAAACUUCUUUGCUUACGAUUGUGUGUCUGCCUGUGAGAGCCCUGCUACUUCUUUAGUUGGGAAACAAAUGGAGAAACAAUGAAAAACAGAAGAAAAAAAUGGAAAUCUGUGUGACUCAGCCAAUGUGGGUUAACUUUACAGAGAAAGGUUCCCCUGAAGCACAAUUUCCUUCUGGGUUAAAGGCUGAAGUGGUAAAGCUAAGUAGUUUCUAGGUUUCUGUACGGCCCCCGCUUGAGUAAAAUGUAGCAUUAUGAGGAAAAAGUAAUGGUAAAAUUGGUGCAGUGCAUAUAGCUUGGCUGUACGUAGCCUGAUAGUAUCUGAACAGUAACUGCUGUUGGAGCAUGUUAUCUAAAGGACAAUGUCCAACAGGUUUCUGGAAGACCUGUGGCCUGUCUAUAACCGUGAUUUGGAACCAACCUUGAAGUGCUGGAGAUAGCCCAGAUGGUGCGUAGCGGACAAGGCCAAUAGGUUACGCAGCAGCUCCCUAAUCCCUGCACAGGGAAUGCAGGAAAGCACAGCCAGCCAUGAGGUGAUCCCCUCCGUACAGUGCUGGCGAGACCACGACCACGGCCGUCUUCAGCACCCAUAAUUUAAGUAGCUGCCGAGGCCUGACAAGUCCAGCGAGAUGAUUUACGGUCGCGCUGCCUAGCACACCCAGGGGAGGCCUGAGGGGAGGUUUGUGCUGUAGCCAGAGCAGAUGUUUUCUGUAAUUUCUGAUUUGCAAACCACCACAAUUUUCCAGGGGAGCUGCAAACCCAGGACAGCGGCUGUUGAGCUCAUAGGCUUGCUUUGUUUAAUUACCAUUCACAGACUGUUUAACGGGGGCCUAGAGACGCCAGGAACCACCAAGAGCCAGAGAUUGGCUACCACCGAAUGCCUCUGCAUGAAGAAGACGUGGUUUUCCCCGGUGGACAAAAUCACUCCUGAGCUGUCUGGUGAGAUGCUGUGGCCAAGCAGCCCGUAGCAGCCAUGGCCAGCCCAUGUUUCUGAGUGGCAAGAGGGCUCCCUCGCAGCACAGCAACACACCCACCCACAUGGAUGCCCAUGAGUACUUCCAGCUCUGCUGCCAGCACUUCAAGAUGGGGAACCAUUUCCACUUGUCCAUUUGGCUACAAUGCCUCCAAAGAACUGUGCGCUGAGGGCUGAUGUCUCACCUUCUCCUGUGACAGACUACCCCUCCAUGAGGACCAUUACAGGAGCUCCUGCGAGGUUCCUGCCCCUGCUCCACAUGAGACAUGCAAGAGAUGGAUGACCUUCUCCUGGCCAGGAGAGCUUCCUCACUGAGAACCUCAACUAUGGUGUUCAUACAUCAGCCCUGAGGGCAACAAACUGGCUUACUCCAGAAGGAGCCUACAGUGGAGAAGAUGCCCAGGAGGGCCUGGGGGUGAAACAGAGCAACCCAAUUGGGCAUAGAGGAACCACACCUGCACAGGAGCACGUACAGCUUGUAUAGACUACAGGGAUCAGCCUCUGUGAGUACACCAUAGGGUUAAAAGUGCAAAGAACAACAGCAAAAACGUGUUUUUAAGUAAACUAUAGACUACAUAAUAGCCCGGAGUCCAAUCAUUUGCAGUGGUUAAAUUAUUACUAAUUUUAUAAAUAUUUUAUGAGUACUUCAGAGUCUUUCUUUUCCGCACACUCCUCUAGAAAUUGAUCAUUUGGCCUGGAACAUGAUUGUAAAAAGCAGUCGGUUCCUGAAUAGAGUCAAGCCUAUUCCUUGUAUGAGUGCUGGCAGAGACCUGCAACUCAUGUCUGCCAGAAAAGCUGACAGGAGAUGGACCCAAGCUGUCCUCUCAUCUCUUUUUUUGAGACCAGAGAGGCAGCUGCUGCUUUGGGACUUUCCAGCUCACAUCCAAAGUCUGUGAGGAAACAUCGGGCUACACCUGGAGAGAGGGCCCUUUAUCUCAGCAGUGCAAGACCCAGCCUUACAAUAUUUGACAUGGGCCUCCAAAUUCAGAGGAUAUAAAAAUACCAAAUGUUGAGUGGGUUUAACUUGCCUUUACUUGCCUUCUGGCUCCUGAGCUGUUAGGAUUUAUAGACAGUCCUUUUUCUCUCCACAACAUUGCUCCAGACACAUGGUACGAUGUCAGCACUGGCCAGGGGAAAUGAUUUUAUCUGUAUAGAGAUGGGACUGAUUCGGGUGCUUUUGCUUAGAAAUAUUAGGGCAUAUUUAGAGAGUAUGCUUGAAGUUUAUAAAGAAAAAUCAUCAUAUUUUCAUUUUAUAGUCAAUGAGUAGUCAGAACUUUCCCUUUUUAUGUUUGAUUCUCUUGGGUAUAUCUAUUAACGAAUGAUGCUAUCUCCCUCGUACUCCCUAUCCCUGGAAUGAAUGGUGAAUAUCAUGCACUGUUUUUCCAAGGAUGAUACAUUCUUGUGAGGCUUUCACCUGUUCCACGAUCCUACUCAGAAAAAGUUCGUUCUUUCUUCUUUUUUUUUUUUUUAAGUCUAGGUGCCUCUGGUUGUUCAGAAAUCACUCGCACUCAAGCAAGCUGAGAAGGCUGUCAUUAUUUAGUGUUUGAACGCUAAAACAUGGCCAGGGCCAACCAUGUAGCUAACAAUGAGAAGCAGUUAAUGACAGGUCAGUGAUGGGAUAUGACUAAUGAAAGGAGAAGGGCUGCAGAACUGCAAAGUUACUGAGUGCAGUGGGUGGCCGACAAAGACUCUGUAAGCCCUUGUAACCUCAAGCAUACAGCCACCUUUUUGCCUUCUGUGGUGGUUUUACCCAGCCGAGCUUCACCACAACCGCACUCUCACUCCCCCUCCUCAAAGGGAAAGGGGAGAAUA
Molecule: long non-coding RNA, 3818 nt
Organism: Cygnus olor (mute swan)
Lineage: Eukaryota; Metazoa; Chordata; Aves; Anseriformes; Anatidae
Exons: 4
Source: RefSeq, a predicted model, not a curated record